This 279-nucleotide unclassified non-coding RNA is filed under the name uncultured fungus. RNAcentral describes it as "sequence contains ITS1, 5.8S rRNA gene". Lineage: Eukaryota; Fungi. The record is from RNAcentral.
GUAUUUGAUUCGACCGAUUACAAGAGAAUCGAGACGAAGGUUCAGUCCAAAACAAAAGGUUCAAAAGAUGCGUGAGUUUGAAAAAAACUCUGACAGGCCGAGGCCAAAAGAGACCUCCUCGGCGCCUUCGAUAGAUGAUUAUUAUAUCAGGCCAUCGAAGGCUCCUUUCCUGCCAAAGCGAACGGUCAAUGAGUGCACACGAGGUGGAUAUGGAUUUGAUCGUCCAUAUUUUGGAAUCGACCUUUUUUAAUGAUCCUUCCGCAGGUUCACCUACGGAAA